CUUUUUGUGCAAUAUGAAAUUAGCAUUACUUCAUAAUCGUCCUUGUUAAAAAUAAAUCAAAGAUUUUCAUAAGAUAAUUUGUUAAAACUUAAUCAUGUACUUUACAUGGUACAAGAUAUUGCAAAACAUGAGUAAAUAUGUUACAUUUCAUUCAUAUCCUGUUCGUGAAAUAAAACAAUUUUUUAUUGUUUGAAAUUUCUUCUGAAACAUAACUUAUUAUUUGGCUAAUAACAACUUUUUGAUUUUUAUUGUUAGAUGAAGAUUUAAUGUUGCGGGUAUACUUUAUAGAUUUCUGGAUCUUUUUUUCAGAUACUGUACAAAUUAUCAAACUUUGAAACAUGUCACAAUGUAAGGUUUUGUACUGGCAUUUUACGUCGUGCAUGUUUUUGGGAUUCAAAAUCAUUUCUGCUAAUGGUUGCAGAAUUUUUGGACAUGAAAACUUUAAAAGUACUGAUACAAUCAGAUAUGUAUUUAUAGACUUAAUUGAAGUCAUGUUACAAACACAAUUUUACUUAUUUGUAUAUUUACAGCAUAACUUUAGUAAAAUUGUAAUUCUCAUUCAGCUUAAAAGGCAGUAUGAAGUUGUAUUUUAUAAUUUGUUUUAAUUGAAUGUAUUAUUGUACAGUAUAGAAUUCAGUGUACAUAUCCAUU
RNAcentral lists this long non-coding RNA (651 nucleotides) under Mytilus galloprovincialis (Mediterranean mussel). The record is from RNAcentral. Lineage: Eukaryota; Metazoa; Mollusca; Bivalvia; Mytilida; Mytilidae.